This 440-nucleotide ribosomal RNA is filed under the name uncultured bacterium. RNAcentral describes it as "partial 16S ribosomal RNA". It matches the Rfam family "Bacterial small subunit ribosomal RNA", at positions 338 to 795 of the family's 1533-position model. The record is from RNAcentral.
CCUACGGGUGGCAGCAGUGGGGAAUAUUGCACAAUGGGGGAAACCCUGAUGCAGCGACGCCGCGUGAGUGAAGAAGUAAUUCGUUAUGUAAAGCUCUAUCAGCAGGGAAGAAAAUGACGGUACCUGAGUAAGAAGCCCCGGCUAACUACGUGCCAGCAGCCGCGGUAAUACGUAGGGGGCAAGCGUUAUCCGGAUUUACUGGGUGUAAAGGGAGCGUAGACGGCAAUACAAGUCGGAAGUGAAAUACCCGGGCUCAACCUGGGAACUGCUUUGGAAACUGUAUGGCUGGAGUGCUGGAGAGGUAAGCGGAAUUCCUAGUGUAGCGGUGAAAUGCGUAGAUAUUAGGAGGAACACCAGUGGCGAAGGCGGCUUACUGGACAGUAACUGACGUUGAGGCUCGAAAGCGUGGGGAGCAAACAGGAUUAGAUACCCCUGUAGUC